This 613-nucleotide ribosomal RNA is filed under the name Comamonadaceae bacterium 23AAV. RNAcentral's name for it is "bacterial SSU rRNA". It matches the Rfam family "Bacterial small subunit ribosomal RNA", at positions 110 to 717 of the family's 1533-position model. The record is from RNAcentral. Lineage: Bacteria; Pseudomonadati; Pseudomonadota; Betaproteobacteria; Burkholderiales; Comamonadaceae.
GUAAUAUAUCGGAACGUGCCCAGUCGUGGGGGAUAACGCAGCGAAAGCUGUGCUAAUACCGCAUACGAUCUCUGGAUGAAAGCGGGGGACUCGCAAGGGCCUCGCGCGAUUGGAGCGGCCGAUAUCAGAUUAGCUAGUUGGUGGGGUAAAGGCCUACCAAGGCGACGAUCUGUAGCUGGUCUGAGAGGACGACCAGCCACACUGGAACUGAGACACGGUCCAGACUCCUACGGGAGGCAGCAGUGGGGAAUUUUGGACAAUGGGCGCAAGCCUGAUCCAGCAAUGCCGCGUGCAGGAUGAAGGCCUUCGGGUUGUAAACUGCUUUUGUACGGAACGAAACGGUUCUUUUUAAUACAGAGAGCUAAUGACGGUACCGUAAGAAUAAGCACCGGCUAACUACGUGCCAGCAGCCGCGGUAAUACGUAGGGUGCGAGCGUUAAUCGGAAUUACUGGGCGUAAAGCGUGCGCAGGCGGUGAUGUAAGACAGAUGUGAAAUCCCCGGGCUCAACCUGGGACCUGCAUUUGUGACUGCAUCGCUGGAGUGCGGCAGAGGGGGAUGGAAUUCCGCGUGUAGCAGUGAAAUGCGUAGAUAUGCGGAGGAACACCGAUGGCG